AGACCGGCGCACGGGUGCGUAACGCGUAUGCAAUCUACCUUUUACAGAGGGAUAGCCCAGAGAAAUUUGGAUUAAUACCUCAUAGUAUUACGAAAUGGCAUCAUUUUGUAAUUAAAGUCACAACGGUAAAAGAUGAGCAUGCGUCCCAUUAGCUAGUUGGUAAGGUAACGGCUUACCAAGGCUACGAUGGGUAGGGGUCCUGAGAGGGAGAUCCCCCACACUGGUACUGAGACACGGACCAGACUCCUACGGGAGGCAGCAGUGAGGAAUAUUGGACAAUGGGCGCAAGCCUGAUCCAGCCAUGCCGCGUGCAGGAUGACGGUCCUAUGGAUUGUAAACUGCUUUUAUACGAGAAGAAACACUCCUUCGUGAAGGAGCUUGACGGUAUCGUAAGAAUAAGGAUCGGCUAACUCCGUGCCAGCAGCCGCGGUAAUACGGAGGAUCCAAGCGUUAUCCGGAAUCAUUGGGUUUAAAGGGUCCGUAGGCGGUUUAAUAAGUCAGUGGUGAAAGCCCAUCGCUCAACGGUGGAACGGCCAUUGAUACUGUUAAACUUGAAUUAUUAGGAAGUAACUAGAAUAUGUAGUGUAGCGGUGAAAUGCUUAGAGAUUACAUGGAAUACCAAUUGCGAAGGCAGGUUACUACUAAUGGAUUGACGCUGAUGGACGAAAGCGUGGGUAGCGAACAGGAUUAGAUACCCUGGUAGUCCACGCCGUAAACGAUGGAUACUAGCUGUUGGGAGCAAUCUCAGUGGCUAAGCGAAAGUGAUAAGUAUCCCACCUGGGGAGUACGUUCGCAAGAAUGAAACUCAAAGGAAUUGACGGGGGCCCGCACAAGCGGUGGAGCAUGUGGUUUAAUUCGAUGAUACGCGAGGAACCUUACCAAGGCUUAAAUGUAGAUUGACCGGUUUGGAAACAGAUCUUUCGCAAGACAAUUUACAAGGUGCUGCAUGGUUGUCGUCAGCUCGUGCCGUGAGGUGUCAGGUUAAGUCCUAUAACGAGCGCAACCCCUGUUGUUAGUUGCCAGCGAGUCAUGUCGGGAACUCUAACAAGACUGCCAGUGCAAACUGUGAGGAAGGUGGGGAUGACGUCAAAUCAUCACGGCCCUUACGCCUUGGGCUACACACGUGCUACAAUGGCCGGUACAGAGAGCAGCCACUGGGCGACCAGGAGCGAAUCUAUAAAACCGGUCACAGUUCGGAUCGGAGUCUGCAACUCGACUCCGUGAAGCUGGAAUC
RNAcentral lists this ribosomal RNA (1234 nucleotides) under Flavobacterium sp. ICM 516. RNAcentral's name for it is "bacterial SSU rRNA". It matches the Rfam family "Bacterial small subunit ribosomal RNA", at positions 92 to 1333 of the family's 1533-position model. The record is from RNAcentral. Lineage: Bacteria; Pseudomonadati; Bacteroidota; Flavobacteriia; Flavobacteriales; Flavobacteriaceae.